UGUUGUUCUCGUUGUUAUUUUUCACAUUUCGGUGUAUGAAGAAGCUAUUACUUCUUCAGCCAUGACUCCCGGACCCCUUCCUUUCCUGGGUGGAAUGAAUGGAUCCUUCCUGUGGAUUUUGGUGGCUAUUUAUUUAUUUAUUUUUGGUACUGGGGAUUGAACUUCGGACCUUGCACUUGCGAGGCAGGUGGAGGAACCACUGAGCUAAAUCCCCAGCCCUGGCGCUUUGGCUGUUCCCUUCCGGAAGCUCUGCUUUUCGCCUGCCUUGGGCUUUGUCUCCUGGCUUUCGGUGCAGAUUCCUCAGCUUCCAGCACUGACCUUUCGGCUGCCGCAGACUGACUUCUAGAGCUGACCCUUCGACCUCCGGCACAGGCCCCUCUGUCUUCUGUCACGGAUCCUUCGGCCUCCUGAUGCAGACUCGUUGCCACGGGACAUUGCUGCGGACUCCCGGCCUUUGGCUGGACCCCUGGGAUCUGUAGCGCCUGGACGAUCUUUGGCUCGCUUCUACUUUUGACCCUGGACGGCUGUUGUAGGCGAGUCUCGUGGGUUUCCGUGUCCGGCAUUAAAUCUGAUGCAGAGCAUGUGCAGUCUUUUCAGGAGCCUCGCCCCAGCCCUGCAAGCUCUGAACCAAUUAGCUUGAUGUUGAGUGAAAUAGUAGGCACCAGCAGAUGAAAAGGCCGGUCCAGGGUGACAACGAGAACCCCAGGGAGCGGUGAACCCAGCACAUGCCACACAGCUAUGAGGACAGAGAUGGAUCUGAACUCCUGACUCUUGAACUCAGAAAUUCCCCUCCUUUUGCUGCCAGCAGUGCAAAUGUCCCCAGUCUGCUAGGAGGACACCUAUUGGCCACAUCAGG
RNAcentral lists this long non-coding RNA (856 nucleotides) under Heterocephalus glaber (naked mole-rat). RNAcentral's name for it is "lncRNA (ENSHGLG00000039036.1)". Lineage: Eukaryota; Metazoa; Chordata; Mammalia; Rodentia; Bathyergidae. The record is from RNAcentral.